This 1897-nucleotide ribosomal RNA is filed under the name seawater metagenome. RNAcentral's name for it is "bacterial LSU rRNA". It matches the Rfam family "Bacterial large subunit ribosomal RNA", at positions 1 to 1976 of the family's 2925-position model. The record is from RNAcentral.
UCAAGCGCGAAAAGGGCGUUUGGUGAAUGCCUUGGCAGUAAGAGGCGAUGAAGGACGUGAUACUCUGCGAUAAGUUAUGGGGAGCUGAGAAUAAGCUUUGAUCCAUAAAUUUCCGAAUGGGGCAACCCACCUGAUAUUCUACUAUUGUUGCGCUUCGGUGCAUUCAAUAGUUGGGUAAACCAGGUAUUUAUAACUUGAAUACAUAGGGUUAUAAAAGCAAACCCGGGGAACUGAAACAUCUAAGUACCCGGAGGAAAGGACAUCAAUUAGAUACUCCCCUAGUAGCGGCGAGCGAACGGGGAUCAGCCGAGCCAUGAGUGUGACUAGAAUGUGUUGGAAAGCACAACCAAAGUGGGUGACAGUCCCGUAUAGGAAGCAUGAUUGGACGUAUUAAGUAGGGCGGGACACGUGAAAUCCUGUUCGAAGAUCGGAGGACCACCUCCGAAGGCUAAGUACUCCUUACUGACCGAUAGUGAACCAGUACCGUGAGGGAAAGGUGAAAAGCACCCCGACGAGGGGAGUGAAACAGUUUCUGAAACCGGACGCCUACAAUCAGUCGGAGGCCCCUUGAGGGCUGACGGCGUACCUUUUGUAUAAUGGGUCAUCGACUUAGUGUAUCUAGCAAGCUUAAGCCGUUAGGUGUAGGCGCAGCGAAAGCGAGUCUUAAUAGGGCGAUUGAGUUAGAUGUAUUAGACCCGAAACCGAGUGAUCUAGGCAUGGCCAGGUUGAAGGUACGGUAACACGUACUGGAGGACCGAACCCACAUCCGUUGAAAAGGAUCGGGAUGAGCUGUGCCUAGGGGUGAAAGGCCAAUCAAACUCGGAGAUAGCUGGUUCUCCGCGAAAUCUAUUUAGGUAGAGCGUCAUCCGAAUACCCCGGGGGGUAGAGCACUGGAUGGGUAAUGGGGCCCCACAGGCUUACUGAUCCUAACCAAACUCCGAAUACCCGGGAGUAAUAGAUGGCAGACACACUGCGGGUGCUAACGCCCGUAGUGAAAAGGGAAACAACCCUGACCGACAGUUAAGGCCCCUAAUUCAUGGCUAAGUGGGAAAGCAGGUGGGACGACCAAAACAACCAGGAAGUUGGCUUAGAAGCAGCCAUCUUUUAAAGAUAGCGUAACAGCUCACUGGUCUAAAUAAGUUGUCCUGCGGCGAAGAUGUAACGGGGCUCAAGCCAUGAGCCGAAACUUCGGAUGCAUUUAAUUGCAUGGUAGCGGAGCGUAGUGUGACAUAGUUCCAUGCGUCUUUAACUUCCUUUUGGAAGUAUUGGACGCAAGGAGCUUUCUGUGAAGCCGGCCUGUGAGGGAUCCGGUGGAGAGAUCACUAGUGAGAAUGAUGACAUGAGUAACGACAAAGGGGGUGAGAGACCCCCUCGCCGAAAAUCCAAGGGUUCCUGCUUAAAGCUAAUCUGAGCAGGGUGAGCCGGCCCCUAAGCCGAGGGCGAAAGCCGUAGGCGAUGGGAACCAGGUUAAUAUUCCUGGGCCAGGAGGAAGUGACGGAUCAUGAAGAUUGUUGGAUCAGGCGUAGUUGCCCCAGCAGUUAAUUGGUUCCUGGAAAUAGCCCUCCAUCAGACCGUACCCUAAACCGACACAGGUGGAUAGGUAGAGUAUACCAAGGCGCUUGAGAGAACUAUGUUGAAGGAACUCGGCAAAAUACCUCCGUAAGUUCGCGAGAAGGAGGCCCAGUUUCUACGCAAGUAUUGGCUGGGGGCACAAACCAGGGGGUGGCGACUGUUUACUAAAAACACAGGGCUCUGCGAAGUCGUAAGACGACGUAUAGGGUCUGACGCCUGCCCGGUGCCUGAAGGUUAAAAGGAGGGGUGAGAGCUCCGAAUUGAAGCCCAGGUAAACGGCGGCCGUAACUAUAACGGUCCUAAGGUAGCGAAAUUCCUUGUCGGG